This 440-nucleotide ribosomal RNA is filed under the name uncultured bacterium. RNAcentral's name for it is "partial 16S ribosomal RNA". It matches the Rfam family "Bacterial small subunit ribosomal RNA", at positions 338 to 795 of the family's 1533-position model. The record is from RNAcentral.
CCUACGGGAGGCUGCAGUGGGGAAUAUUGCGCAAUGGGGGAAACCCUGACGCAGCAACGCCGCGUGAGUGAAGACGUCUCUCCGUAUGUAAAGCUCUAUCAGCGGGGAAGAAGGAAGACGGUACCCGACUAAGAAGCCCCGGCUGACUACGUGCCAGCAGCCUCGGUCAUACGCAGGUGGCAAGGGUUAUCCGGAAUGAUUGGGCGUAAAGGGUGCGUAGGCGGCAAAAUAAGUCUGAAGUAAAAGGCGUUGGCUCAACCAACGUAAGCUUUGGAAACUGUUAAGCUAGCGUGCAGGAGAGGUUAGUGGAAUUCCAUGUGUAGCGGUAAAAUGCGUAGAUAUAUGGAGGAACACCCGUGGCGAAGGCGGCUAACUGGACUGUAACGGACGCUGCGGCACGAAAGCGUGGGGAGCAAAUAGGAUUAGAUACCCUUGUAGUC